GGAAUAUUGGACAAUGGGGGCAACCCUGAUCCAGCAAUGCCGCGUGUGUGAAGAAGGCCUUCGGGUUGUAAAGCACUUUGGGCGGGGAAGAAGGUGCGCUGUUUAAGAGAUGGCGCAUUUGACGGUACCCGCAGAACAAGCACCGGCUAACUCUGUGCCAGCAGCCGCGGUAAUACAGAGGGUGCGAGCGUUAAUCGGAAUUACUGGGCGUAAAGGGCGCGUAGGCGGAUGAGCAAGUGAGAUGUGAAAUACCUGGGCUUAACCUGGGAAUGUCAUCUUAAACUGCUGAUCUGGAGUACUGUAGAGGACAGUGGAAUUUCCGGUGUAGCGGUGAAAUGCGUAGAGAUCGGAAGGAACACCAGUGGCGAAGGCGACUGUCUGGACAGAUACUGACGCUGAGGCGCGAAAGCGUGAGGAGCAAA
RNAcentral lists this ribosomal RNA (422 nucleotides) under uncultured bacterium. RNAcentral describes it as "bacterial SSU rRNA". It matches the Rfam family "Bacterial small subunit ribosomal RNA", at positions 358 to 772 of the family's 1533-position model. The record is from RNAcentral.